RNAcentral lists this ribosomal RNA (385 nucleotides) under marine copepod environmental sample. Its description in RNAcentral is "SSU rRNA". It matches the Rfam family "Eukaryotic small subunit ribosomal RNA", at positions 587 to 972 of the family's 1831-position model. Lineage: Eukaryota; Metazoa; Arthropoda; Copepoda. The record is from RNAcentral.
AGCUCCAAUAGCGUAUAUUAAAGUUGUUGCGGUUAAAAAGCUCGUAGUUGGAUUUCGGCGAUCAGGGGCCGGUGAUAUAUUUGUAUCUACUGGCCCAUUUGGUCGUAUUUUUGAAAGAGGGUUUGGGGUCCCCUUCACUGGGUGUCCUAGGUCGCUUUCAGGUUUACUUUGAAAAAAUUAGAGUGCUCAAAGCAGGCUUUAACGCUUGAAUAUUCGUGCAUGGAAUAAUAGAAUAGGAAGUUCGUUUCUAUUUUGUUGGUUUUAGGAUAACGACUUAAUAAUUAAUAGGGACAAUCGGGGGAAUUAGUAUUCAAACGACAGAGGUGAAAUUCUUGGACCGUUUGAAGAAGAAAGAAGGAGAAAGAAGGGGAAAAGAGGGGGGUAA